RNAcentral lists this ribosomal RNA (443 nucleotides) under uncultured bacterium. RNAcentral's name for it is "partial 16S ribosomal RNA". It matches the Rfam family "Bacterial small subunit ribosomal RNA", at positions 338 to 795 of the family's 1533-position model. The record is from RNAcentral.
CCUACGGGAGGCAGCAGUGGGGAAUAUUGCACAAUAGGCGAAAGCCUGAUGCAGCAACGCCGCGUGAAGGAAGAAGGGUUUCGGCUCGUAAACUUCUAUCAACAGGGACGAAAGAAAUGACGGUACCUGAAUAAGAAGCCCCGGCUAACUACGUGCCAGCAGCCGCGGUAAUACGUAGGGGGCAAGCGUUAUCCGGAUUUACUGGGUGUAAAGGGAGCGUAGACGGUGAGACAAGUCUGAAGUGAAAGCCCGGGGCUCAACCCCGGGACUGCUUUGGAAACUGCCUGACUGGAGUGCUGGAGAGGCAAGCGGAAUUCCUAGUGUAGCGGUGAAAUGCUUAGAUAUCACGAAGAACUCCGAUUGCGAAGGCAGCUCACUGGACUGCAACUGACACUGAGGCUCGAAAGUGUGGGUAUCAAACAGGAUUAGAUACCCUUGUAGUC